GUUGCGCCAAAACUGCAUGGGCUUGCCCUAGUCUACCUCGACGUCUAUAUAUAUAUAUGGAUGUCUGACUGCAAUCUAAAGGCAUCUUGAAUUCGUGUGAUCACCAUCAGUCUUAGCUUAAUAUUUGGUAUGUUUUUAUUUUCUUUGGUCGAGGUUGGUAUCGUCCUUAGAUUGUAGUAUUAAAUUUUGUACUCUUUUGUUUUAAUACAAGUAUAUUUUCAUACAUUUAUUAUGUUUUAUUUACUUUAAUUAUGUUUAUUAGGUAAUUUUAUAUACUUGGUUUGGGCAUAUAUUAGUCGAGUAUGAGUACUCGGUGUUGUGAAGUAUAAUUUGGCCAUAAUAAAUGUAUGUGUGUGUUCUCAAAGUACUAUAUCAUAAUCUAAAUACUAUAAUUUUGGUCAAACUUGAUGUAUUAAUCGGUCGAUAACACUUUGGGCAAGUCUAGGUUACAAGUAAUAAUCGACUCAAAGUGUAAAGUGUAUCUCACUCCAAAUAGUACGACUGGUGUUGGCCAAUGGUAUAUGUACUUCAGACAUACUUAUGACCAAUUGAAGUUAUCUCUCUUGAUGUUGUUUGUGAAAGACAUUUAUUGAAGUGUCUCCUGAGUGAUUGAUUAGAUAGUGUGUAUAGAAUAGUGUCUCUUACAUGCUUUACAAUUAAGAGUGGAUUGGGUAGAGUGAGAUGUAGUGUAGUAAAUAAUUUUGUACGAAUAGACAAAGCGUUUAUUCAUGUUUAACCGAUCAUGCUCAGACCAGGUUGUAUCAUUCUUAGACUUUUGAUUAUGAAGAUCUAUAGUGUAGGCAUCGUCUUGUUGGAUGAAUGCAUCACCUAGGUUUGAAUGUCAUAAGGGGCAAAAAGUUUAUUUCUUUUUAAGUAUUAAAUUUAACUUUGAAUGCAUUUAUUUUAUAGAAAAAUACAUUAUUCUCAUGUUCUCACAAUAACCAAC
This 946-nucleotide long non-coding RNA is filed under the name Salvia miltiorrhiza (redroot sage). RNAcentral's name for it is "long non-coding RNA (SMIL_LNC011381)". Lineage: Eukaryota; Viridiplantae; Streptophyta; Magnoliopsida; Lamiales; Lamiaceae. The record is from RNAcentral.